CAGUCGUACCGGCGGAUAAUCAGCCUUUCGGGUGCGAUUCUGUGGGGCGUGAAGAGUUUAACCGCCUUCAUGCCUGCAUAUUCGUGUACUUUUGGGUGUACUUGCCUGUGUGGUUAGUU
RNAcentral lists this ribosomal RNA (119 nucleotides) under Rhizophagus intraradices. Lineage: Eukaryota; Fungi; Glomeromycota; Glomeromycetes; Glomerales; Glomeraceae. The record is from RNAcentral.